Molecule: transfer RNA, 71 nt
Filed under: Marmota monax (woodchuck)
Lineage: Eukaryota; Metazoa; Chordata; Mammalia; Rodentia; Sciuridae
Description: tRNA.Val
Source: RNAcentral
GAGGCUGUAGCUCAGCGGUAAAGUGCUUACCUCACAUGUGUGAGGCACUGGGUUUGAUUCUCAGCACCACA